AUUUCUAAGCUUGUAGAUGUGUUUGUGAGGUCCCAAGGAGCUUGGGAGUGGUUCGUUGGGUGAAUUUGGACGUCACGAUCGUCCUGUGCAAAGUUGGCCGAGUUUUGACCUUGAAGACAGGUGAUUCGUUUUCCGAAGACGAGCGUACACACUCGAGGCAGGGGGGCUACGACCCUUCUAAUUACCAGUUCUAGUGGUCUAGCAAGUUCAGUGGUUUAUCCCAGAGGGCGUCCCGGCAUUUCUGACAG
This is a long non-coding RNA of Pyrus x bretschneideri (Chinese white pear), 248 nucleotides long. RefSeq lists it as uncharacterized. The record is from RefSeq and is a predicted model, not a curated record. NCBI's taxonomy places the organism in Eukaryota, Viridiplantae, Streptophyta, Magnoliopsida, Rosales, Rosaceae. The transcript is spliced from 3 exons.